RNAcentral lists this transfer RNA (91 nucleotides) under Fimbriimonadaceae bacterium. RNAcentral describes it as "tRNA-Ser". It matches the Rfam family "tRNA". From Rfam's summary of the family: Transfer RNA (tRNA) molecules are approximately 80 nucleotides in length. Lineage: Bacteria; Bacillati; Armatimonadota; Fimbriimonadia; Fimbriimonadales; Fimbriimonadaceae. The record is from RNAcentral.
AGAGCGAUGUCCGAGUGGUCGAUGGAGCGGGCCUGGAAAGCUCGUAAUCGUGAUGAACGGUUCGUGGGUUCGAAUCCCACUCGCUCUGCCA